UACGUAGGGCGCAAGCGUUGUCCGGAAUUAUUGGGCGUAAAGAGCUCGUAGGCGGCUUGUCACGUCGAUUGUGAAAGCCCGAGGCUUAACCUCGGGUCUGCAGUCGAUACGGGCUAGCUAGAGUGUGGUAGGGGAGAUCGGAAUUCCUGGUGUAGCGGUGAAAUGCGCAGAUAUCAGGAGGAACACCGGUGGCGAAGGCGGGUCUCUGGGCCGAUACUGACGCUGAGGAGCGAAAGCGUGGGGAGCGAACAGG
This 253-nucleotide ribosomal RNA is filed under the name uncultured bacterium. Its description in RNAcentral is "partial 16S ribosomal RNA". It matches the Rfam family "Bacterial small subunit ribosomal RNA", at positions 524 to 776 of the family's 1533-position model. The record is from RNAcentral.